Molecule: non-coding RNA, 692 nt
Filed under: Psychrobacillus sp. FJAT-21963
Lineage: Bacteria; Bacillati; Bacillota; Bacilli; Caryophanales; Bacillaceae
Description: Bacterial large subunit ribosomal RNA
Rfam family: Bacterial large subunit ribosomal RNA
Source: Rfam by way of RNAcentral
AGAGCGUUCUAAGGGCGUUGAAGCUAGACCGCAAGGACUGGUGGAGCGCUUAGAAGUGAGAAUGCCGGUAUGAGUAGCGAAAGAUGGGUGAGAAUCCCAUCCACCGAAUGCCUAAGGUUUCCUGAGGAAGGCUCGUCCGCUCAGGGUUAGUCGGGACCUAAGCCGAGGCUGAAAAGCGUAGGCGAUGGACAACAGGUUGAUAUUCCUGUACCACCAAACUCCGUUUGAGCAAUGGGGGGACGCAGGAGGAUAGGGUAAGCGCACUGCUGGAUAUGUGCGUCUAAGCAGUUAGGCUGCAAGCGAGGAAAAUCCCGUUUGCGUGAAGGCUGAGCUGUGACAGCGAGGGAAAUAUAGUACCGAAGUUCCUGAUUCCACACUGCCAAGAAAAGCCUCUAGUGAGGAUAAGGUGCCCGUACCGCAAACCGACACAGGUAGGCGAGGAGAGAAUCCUAAGGUGAGCGAGAGAACUCUCGUUAAGGAACUCGGCAAAAUGACCCCGUAACUUCGGGAGAAGGGGUGCUUUUUAGGGUGAAUAGCCCUGAAAAGCCGCAGUGAAUAGGCCCAGGCGACUGUUUAGCAAAAACACAGGUCUCUGCGAAGCCGCAAGGCGAAGUAUAGGGGCUGACGCCUGCCCGGUGCUGGAAGGUUAAGAGGAGGGGUUAGCUUACGCGAAGCUCUGAAUUGAAGCCCCA